AUCCAGCUGAUGGGUCUCAAAUGAGACGAAACGCGCGUCCUAAAU
Molecule: non-coding RNA, 45 nt
Filed under: Schistosoma bovis
Lineage: Eukaryota; Metazoa; Platyhelminthes; Trematoda; Strigeidida; Schistosomatidae
Also listed under: 1 other name
Source: RNAcentral